UCCAGGCAAAUCCGGAUAAUCAAGGCUGAGGUGUGAUGACGAGGCACUACGGUGCUGAAGUAACAAAUGCCCUGCUUCCAGGAAAAGCCUCUAAGCAUCAGGUAACAUUAAAUCGUACCCCAAACCGACACAGGUGGUCAGGUAGAGAAUACCAAGGCGCUUGAGAGAACUCGGGUGAAGGAACUAGGCAAAAUGGUGCCGUAACUUCGGGAGAAGGCACGCUGGUGUGUAGGUGAAGUCCCUGCGGAUGGAGCUGAGACCAGUCGAAGAUACCAGCUGGCUGCAACUGUUUAUUAAAAACACAGCACUGUGCAAACACGAAAGUGGACGUAUACGGUGUGACGCCUGCCCGGUGCCGGAAGGUUAAUUGAUGGGGUUAUCCGUAAGGAGAAGCUCUUGAUCGAAGCCCCGGUAAACGGCGGCCGUAACUAUAACGGUCCUAAGGUAGCGAAAUUCCUUGUCGGGUAAGUUCCGACCUGCACGAAUGGCGUAAUGAUGGCCAGGCUGUCUCCACCCGAGACUCAGUGAAAUUGAACUCGCUGUGAAGAUGCAGUGUACCCGCGGCAAGACGGAAAGACCCCGUGAACCUUUACUAUAGCUUGACACUGAACAUUGAGCCUUGAUGUGUAGGAUAGGUGGGAGGCUUUGAAGCGUGGACGCCAGUCUGCGUGGAGCCAACCUUGAAAUACCACCCUUUAAUGUUUGAUGUUCUAACGUUGGCCCCUGACCGGGGUUGCGGACAGUGUCUGGUGGGUAGUUUGACUGGGGCGGUCUCCUCCCAAAGCGUAACGGAGGAGCACGAAGGUUAGCUAAUCCUGGUCGGACAUCAGGAGGUUAGUGCAAUGGCAUAAGCUAGCUUGACUGCGAGCGUGACGGCGCGAGCAGGUGCGAAAGCAGGUCAUAGUGAUCCGGUGGUUCUGAAUGGAAGGGCCAUCGCUCAACGGAUAAAAGGUACUCCGGGGAUAACAGGCUGAUACCGCCCAAGAGUUCAUAUCGACGGCGGUGUUUGGCACCUCGAUGUCGGCUCAUCACAUCCUGGGGCUGAAGUAGGUCCCAAGGGUAUGGCUGUUCGCCAUUUAAAGUGGUACGCGAGCUGGGUUUAGAACGUCGUGAGACAGUUCGGUCCCUAUCUGCCGUGGGCGCUGGAGAAUUGAGGGGGGCUGCUCCUAGUACGAGAGGACCGGAGUGGACGCAUCACUGGUGUUCGGGUUGUCAUGCCAAUGGCACUGCCCGGUAGCUAAAUGCGGAAGAGAUAAGUGCUGAAAGCAUCUAAGCACGAAACUUGCCCCGAGAUGAGUUCUCCCUGAGACUUUAAGUCUCCUGAAGGAACGUU
This 1333-nucleotide ribosomal RNA is filed under the name Klebsiella pneumoniae. RNAcentral's name for it is "bacterial LSU rRNA". It matches the Rfam family "Bacterial large subunit ribosomal RNA", at positions 1531 to 2839 of the family's 2925-position model. The record is from RNAcentral. RNAcentral also lists the same sequence under 4 other names. Lineage: Bacteria; Pseudomonadati; Pseudomonadota; Gammaproteobacteria; Enterobacterales; Enterobacteriaceae.